GGUUCCUUAGCUCAGUUGGUUAGAGCGUGGUGCUAAUAGACUUCAUUGAGAGGUACAGUUAACGCCAAGGUCGUGGGUUCGACCCCCAUAGGGACCA
Molecule: non-coding RNA, 97 nt
Organism: Dissoconium aciculare CBS 342.82
Lineage: Eukaryota; Fungi; Ascomycota; Dothideomycetes; Mycosphaerellales; Dissoconiaceae
Source: the annotation of a RefSeq genome assembly